GGAGCGGCGGAGGAGAGACGUGGGGAGGGGGGGGGGCGAGUGUGCAAGGUUGGGGGGGCGAGUGUGCAACGGGAUUACCACGGCGGCCGCUCCCGCAGGAAGAGCGUCCCCGGGGCAAACAGUACAGCAUCAACAUGGACGCACCGCCCGCCCCCCCCUUCCGGCCCUCGGUGAGCCCCCGCACACGCCUGUCGCCAUGGUGACCACGGCUGCACACGCCUGGCACCGCGGCUACCCGUCCUGCACACGCGUGUUGUUGUGGUGACCUCCAUCCUGCACACGCUUGUUGCCAUGGUUACCCCUCCUGGACAUACAUGUUGCCAUGGUUAUCCCUCCUGGACAUACGUGUUGUUGUGGUUAUUUCAUCCUGGACAUACAUGUUGCCAUGGUUACCCCAUCCUGGACAUACAUGUUGCCGUGGUUACCCUUCCUAGACACACAUGUUGUUGUGGUUACCCCAUCCUGCACACGCUUGUUGCCAUGGUUACCCCUCCUGGACAUACAUGUUGCCAUGGUUACUCUUCCUGUACAUACGUGUUGUUGUGGUGACCCCCAUCCUGCACAUGCUUGUUGUCAUGGUUACCCCUCCUGGACACGCGUGUUGUUGUGGUUACCCCAUCCUGGACAUACAUGUUGCCAUGGUUACCCCAUCCUGGACAUACAUGUUGCCAUGGUUACCCCUUCUGGACAUACGUGUUGUUGUGGUUAUUCCAUCCUGGACAUACAUGCUGUCAUGGUUACUUCUUCUGGACAUACAUGUUGCCAUGGUUACUCCUCCUGGACACACAUGUUGUUGUGGUUACCCCAUUCUGCACAUGCUUGUUGCCAUGGUUACUUCUCCUGGACAUACAUGUUGCUAUGGUUGCCUCAUCCUGGACACGCUUGUUGCCAUGGUUACCCCUCCCGGCCAUACAUGUUGCCAUGGUUACCCCUCCCGGCCAUACAUGUUGCCGUGUUUCCCGCGCUGCUCCUGCUCACGGUUGCUGCUGUUCCCGCCUCCAUGACACGCCUGUAGCCGUGCUUCCCGUGGCUGUGCACGCCUUCACACCCGUGUUGCUGCGGUUGCCGCCUCCCGCACACGCCUGUCGCCAUGGCGACCCCACGCUGGGCUGCCACGGUGCCCCAUCCCGCACACGGCUGCCGCUGCUCACCCGCCUGCCCUGCGUUGCCGUGGUGACCCCAUCCUGCACACGCGUGUUGUCACGGUUCCCCGUGCUGCGCACACACCCC
This 1230-nucleotide long non-coding RNA is filed under the name Gallus gallus (chicken). The record is from RNAcentral. Lineage: Eukaryota; Metazoa; Chordata; Aves; Galliformes; Phasianidae.